UCGGCUCCGUCCGUGGACCCACGAGUGGGUUUCAGCAUCUUCGGGCUGCUUUUGGGCCGUUUUCCGGCCCCGGAUCCGCGAGUCGCUUUGGGAAGUUUUGUUCCUCGCGUCGCCGCCGUCGGAUUGAUCCGAUUUGCGCGCGAUUUGGACCCCGGUGAGAAGCUGAAGAGGAGGAGUCUAAGAAGGAGAACUCGGAGGUGAAACUUAAGGAGAAAGAUUUUUGGGAGAAGAUGAUAAUCCCGAGAAGGGCCUUGAGUACGGCCCGGAUGGCUAAGAGUUUCUGUCUCCUUUUGAGAUCUCCGUUUUGAUGUGAAUAGUUAUGAAGAGGUUUGUGGUUUGUAUAAAAGUGUGGUUAUAAAUUUCAAUAUGAAAAAUAUGGCCCUGCUUUUCUA
Molecule: long non-coding RNA, 392 nt
Organism: Eucalyptus grandis
Lineage: Eukaryota; Viridiplantae; Streptophyta; Magnoliopsida; Myrtales; Myrtaceae
Exons: 2
Source: RefSeq, a predicted model, not a curated record